CCCUUUGGGUGUGACUGCGUACCUUUUGUAUAAUGGGUCAGCGACUUAUAUUCUGUAGCAAGGUUAACCGAAUAGGGGAGCCGGAGGGAAACCGAGUCUUAAUUGGGCGUUAAGUUGCAGGGUAUAGACCCGAAACCCGGUGAUCUAGCCAUGGGCAGGUUGAAGGUUGGGUAACACUAACUGGAGGACCGAACCGACUAAUGUUGAAAAAUUAGCGGAUGACCUGUGGCUGGGGGUGAAAGGCCAAUCAAACCGGGAGAUAGCUGGUUCUCCCCGAAAGCUAUUUAGGUAGCGCCUCGUGAAUUCAUCUCCGGGGGUAGAGCACUGUUUCGGCUAGGGGGCCAUCCCGGCUUACCAACCCGAUGCAAACUGCGAAUACCGGAGAAUGUUAUCACGGGAGACACACGGCGGGUGCUAACGUCCGUCGUGAAGAGGGAAACAACCCAGACCGCCAGCUAAGGUCCCAAAGUCAUGGUUAAGUGGGAAACGAUGUGGGAAGGCCCAGACAGCCAGGAUGUUGGCUUAGAAGCAGCCAUCAUUUAAAGAAAGCGUAAUAGCUCACUGGUCGAGUCGGCCUGCGCGGAAGAUGUAACGGGGCUAAACCAUGCACCGAAGCUGCGGCAGCGACGCUUAUGCGUUGUUGGGUAGGGGAGCGUUCUGUAAGCCUGCGAAGGUGGCCUGUGAGGGUUGCUGGAGGUAUCAGAAGUGCGAAUGCUGACAUAAGUAACGAUAAAGCGGGUGAAAAGCCCGCUCGCCGGAAGACCAAGGGUUCCUGUCCAACGUUAAUCGGGGCAGGGUGAGUCGACCCCUAAGGCGAGGCCGAAAGGCGUAGUCGAUGGGAAACGGGUUAAUAUUCCCGUACUUGGUGUUACUGCGAAGGGGGGACGGAGAAGGCUAUGUUGGCCGGGCGACGGUUGUCCCGGUUUAAGCGUGUAGGCUGGUUUUCCAGGCAAAUCCGGAAAAUCAAGGCUGAGGCGUGAUGACGAGGCACUACGGUGCUGAAGCAACAAAUGCCCUGCUUCCAGGAAAAGCCUCUAAGCAUCAGGUAACAUCAAAUCGUACCCCAAACCGACACAGGUGGUCAGGUAGAGAAUACCAAGGCGCUUGAGAGAACUCGGGUGAAGGAACUAGGCAAAAUGGUGCCGUAACUUCGGGAGAAGGCACGCUGACACGUAGGUGAAGUGAUUUACUCACGGAGCUGAAGUCAGUCGAAGAUACCAGCUGGCUGCAACUGUUUAUUAAAAACACAGCACUGUGCAAACACGAAAGUGGACGUAUACGGUGUGACGCCUGCCCGGUGCCGGAAGGUUAAUUGAUGGGGUCAGCGCAAGCGAAGCUCCUGAUCGAAGCCCCGGUAAACGGCGGCCGUAACUAUAACGGUCCUAAGGUAGCGAAAUUCCUUGUCGGGUAAGUUCCGACCUGCACGAAUGGCGUAAUGAUGGCCAGGCUGUCUCCACCCGAGACUCAGUGAAAUUGAACUCGCUGUGAAGAUGCAGUGUACCCGCGGCAAGACGGAAAGACCCCGUGAACCUUUACUAUAGCUUGACACUGAACAUUGAGCCUUGAUGUGUAGGAUAGGUGGGAGGCUUUGAAGCGUGGACGCCAGUCUGC
RNAcentral lists this ribosomal RNA (1611 nucleotides) under Salmonella enterica subsp. enterica serovar Enteritidis. Its description in RNAcentral is "partial 23S ribosomal RNA". It matches the Rfam family "Bacterial large subunit ribosomal RNA", at positions 582 to 2179 of the family's 2925-position model. The record is from RNAcentral. Lineage: Bacteria; Pseudomonadati; Pseudomonadota; Gammaproteobacteria; Enterobacterales; Enterobacteriaceae.